RNAcentral lists this ribosomal RNA (498 nucleotides) under uncultured bacterium. Its description in RNAcentral is "partial 16S ribosomal RNA". It matches the Rfam family "Bacterial small subunit ribosomal RNA", at positions 30 to 523 of the family's 1533-position model. The record is from RNAcentral.
AUUGAACGCUGGCGGCAUGCCUUACACAUGCAAGUCGAACGGUAACAGGUCUUCGGAUGCUGACGAGUGGCGAACGGGUGAGUAAUACAUCGGAACGUGCCUAGUAGUGGGGGAUAACUACUCGAAAGAGUGGCUAAUACCGCAUGAGAUCUACGGAUGAAAGCAGGGGAUCGCAAGACCUUGUGCUACUAGAGCGGCCGAUGGCAGAUUAGGUAGUUGGUGGGAUAAAAGCUUACCAAGCCGACGAUCUGUAGCUGGUCUGAGAGGACGAUCAGCCACACUGGGACUGAGACACGGCCCAGACCCCUACGGGAGGCAGCAGUAGGGAAUUUUGGACAAUGGGCGAAAGCCUGAUCCAGCAAUGCCGCGUGCAGGAUGAAGGCCUUCGGGUUGUAAACUGCUUUUGUACGGAACGAAAAGCCCUGGGUUAAUACCCUGGGGUCAUGACGGUACCGUAAGAAUAAGCACCGGCUAACUACGUGCCAGCCGCCGCGGUAA